Non-coding RNA from Myotis brandtii (Brandt's bat), 74 nucleotides. The record is from Rfam. Lineage: Eukaryota; Metazoa; Chordata; Mammalia; Chiroptera; Vespertilionidae.
AAGCAUUCUGGGUGACAUACCCAGAAUCAGGCUCCCUCCUCUCUGGUUCCGGGGUGUGUCACCCGAGAACAAUC